CACCUACUGGAGGACCGAACCGGUGCCUGUUGAAAAAGUCUCGGAUGAGCUGUGGAUAGGGGUGAAAGGCCAAUCAAGGCUGGAAAUAGCUGGUUCUCCGCGAAAUCUAUUUAGGUAGAGCCUCGAGUGAAUACCCCAGGGGGUAGAGCACUGGAUGGGCUAGGGGCCCCCACAGGGUUACCAAACCUAACCAAACUCCGAAUACCUGGGAGUACUACUCGGGAGACACACGGCGGGUGCUAACGUCCGUCGUGAAAAGGGAAAAACCCUGACCGACAGCUAAGGUCCUCAAGUCAUGGCUAAGUGGGAAAGGAUGUGGAAAUCCCAAAACAACCAGGAGGUUGGCUUAGAAGCAGCCAUCCUUUAAAGAAAGCGUAACAGCUCACUGGUCUAAAUAAGGGUUUCUGCGCCG
RNAcentral lists this ribosomal RNA (412 nucleotides) under uncultured bacterium. Its description in RNAcentral is "bacterial LSU rRNA". It matches the Rfam family "Bacterial large subunit ribosomal RNA", at positions 760 to 1166 of the family's 2925-position model. The record is from RNAcentral.